Molecule: ribosomal RNA, 238 nt
Filed under: uncultured Chlamydomonas
Lineage: Eukaryota; Viridiplantae; Chlorophyta; Chlorophyceae; Chlamydomonadales; Chlamydomonadaceae
Description: partial Bacterial small subunit ribosomal RNA
Rfam family: Bacterial small subunit ribosomal RNA
Source: RNAcentral
GAAACCCACGGUUAACUCCUUCCCAGCAGCCGCGGUAAUACGUAGGUGGCAAGCGUUGUCCGGAUUUAUUGGGCGUAAAGGGAACGCAGGCGGUUUUUUAAGUCUGAUGUGAAAGCCUUCGGCUUAACCGAAGAAUAGCAUUGGAAACUGGAAGACUUGAGUGCAGAAGAGGAGAGUGGAAUUCCAUGUGUAGCGGUGAAAUGCGUAGAUAUAUGGAGGAACACCACUGGCGAAAGCG